ACACUUUCCCUUCUAUUUCUGUAUACUACAUAAUUUAGAUUGAACUUCUACUUGUCUCUGGUCAAUUAAUUCAACAUAUUUAUUCUUAGUCUUCCUACAAUAUAAUGCCUACUAAAAUUUCAGUCUUGGGUAAAUCUGUUGGCAUCAAAGUUGGCAUCACUGUCAGUCAAAGAUUGCAGUUGAGUGCAUGGCACAGAAACUCAAGUACAAUGGCUUAACCAAAUAAGACAAUUAUUCUUUUAAUAAGAGUAAUAAAUCCAGAGGUUGACAGUCCAGGGCUGAUACAAUAGUUCUGCUAUGCCAUUAGUAUUCUGAACUCCUUUCUGUCCUGCUCUCCUUAUCAUUUGGUUUUAAUUCCCAUAGUAAUCUCAUGAUUUCUUCAAGGCCAAAAGCAGUGUGUCAUCUUCAGCCUCACAUCCAAAGAACAGGCAGGAGAAAAGAAAGGAAGUACCAGAAAAAGUGUCUGUACCUAUGUAUGUAUGAAUCCAACAAUAUGUAUCCAGCAUAUGCUUUAACCAGCACACUGCUGCUCUGAAUGAAAUCACAUUUCCUAGUGAGGAAGAGGAGAAUACAUAUUGAGGUCACUUCAUUAUCUGCCAUAGUAUUAUUGAAAAUUAUGUUUUCUAAUGUUAACUCCACAGGUAAUCAUUCUAUUUUCACCUAAUUAUAUACCUCUUUGUAUUAGUCUUCUGGGGCUACUGUACCAAAAUACCAAACUGGGCGGCUUAAACAAUAGAAAUUUGUUUUCUCACAGUCUGAAGACUAGAAAUCCAAGAUCAAGGUGUUGGCAAAUUUGGUUUCUCUUGAGAUCUCUCUCCUUGGUUUGCUGAUGGCCACCUCCUCACUGUGUCCUUAUAUGCUCUUUUCUCUGUGCACACAUGUCCUUGGUUGUUUCUCCAUCUUCUUGUAAGGACACUAGUCCUAAUGGGUUAGGGCCCCACCCAUAUAACCUCAUUUAUCCUUAUUUACCUCUCCAAAGACCCCAUCUCCAAAUACAGUCACACUAGGGGUUAGGGCUUCAACAUAUGAAUUUUAGGAAGCGUAUUACAUGUAACAUAGUCCAUAAUCCUCUUCUAUUACCUACAGAAGAUACAUCAAACCUUCACCUCUCUUUGUUAAUCAGUUAUACACCAUUUCUUCCUUCACUUUUAAAAAAUGUACCCUGUCUUCACUGUAACUCAUAGAGACUAUGAGAUAAGAACCUCUUUAUCUUUCUCCCUUUUCUUCUUCACUUGAAUUUACCUUCAACUUUCACACAUCCAUUUUUCCUUCCAUUUAAAGUCAGGAAAGUAAUAGCAGUAGCAGCUGAAAAUUUCAGAAUUAAAACAUACAUGUAGAAUGAACAGCAUCUCCUGAAGUAAUAAAACAAGAAUGAUGUCAAAUAAACCAUUAAUUGUUUUCCCAAGGUUUGGAGAAUUCUUUUCAGCAGAUAAUAGGACCUUUAGCUUUUCCCUGAUGGUUUUGUCACUAUUUUCAAGAUAAUGACAACAUUUCAUGUUUUCUUCAGAAAAAAAUAUGAAUCUUUCUUUUUAAGUUUAUCAGAGUAUGUUGUCUAUCAAUAUUUGAAUGACAUCACAAUGACAUCUAGUGGCUAUAGAAAUUUCUUUCAUCUCUAAGUACAUUUUUAAGUAUAUAAAGAUCUUUCUAGGCUGGAAAUUCUAAGCUGAAAAUAAUGGAAAAUGAGUCAUUGUAAUGUAGUUGUUGUCUUAACAAUCUUUUUUGUUUUUGAAACUGAUUCUCCCACCCUUCUACUUUUAUUCCAUUCUCUACAGAAAUGGAAAGUAUAUGGAAAAAAUUGAUUCCUGAUCAAAAGCGCCAUGCUGGUGCCCAUGGUGACACUUCAUAGAAUCCUUCUUGAGUGCAGAAAUGAGCAGCUAGACACAAAAGUGUUGUUAAAUGUCCUGUAGAACGACGUUCAGGUACUUAGAGCUUCAUAGAACAAGUAUUAGAUCCUUUCCUACAAUCCCAAAACAUGUUUGAAGGAUUUACUAGGACACGAAAUUCACAUUUGGAUUUCAGUAUAACUCAGAGUUAUGGUGGUGCUAUCCAACACUUUUUUGGAAGGGAGUUUGCUUGAUACCAACACAACGCUUGCCAGAACUCAGCAGGCCAAAUUCUAGUUCUGGAAUAUGUGGGAACCAAGAGAUCAGCAGUUAAAUGAUGAGGGCCGUAUCACUUUCAGUGCUCCAAGGAAACAAAUUCUACCUAAUGGUCUAGAAGUUUUCUCUUGGCCUCAGGAAAUUUUGCUUUUGAUGCCUCCUUCAGUAGAAGAAAAAGUUUGAUAAAACUUUUUAAUGAAAGC
Molecule: long non-coding RNA, 2302 nt
Organism: Canis lupus familiaris (dog)
Lineage: Eukaryota; Metazoa; Chordata; Mammalia; Carnivora; Canidae
Exons: 4
Source: RefSeq, a predicted model, not a curated record